Molecule: long non-coding RNA, 2740 nt
Organism: Brassica oleracea var. oleracea
Lineage: Eukaryota; Viridiplantae; Streptophyta; Magnoliopsida; Brassicales; Brassicaceae
Exons: 4
Source: RefSeq, a predicted model, not a curated record
UACUCUUCGGACGUUUUUUUGGUUCUCUAGGUAAAAAUCGUGAUUAGGUUCUUAGCCACCAUGAACUCAGAAAUUCUCAGAUUAUUCUUGCGUACCAAAUCCAAUAUGUUAUUUGUUUAAGGUGAUAAAAUCAGACAUUUUUUGUUUGUCCGAUUCUGAUCCGAAAAUUUAUUAAUUUAUCUCCGAAAAGACAAACGAAGAUCUGGAGAUCCAUUACAUAACUACUCGGAUAUAUUACUGAAAUGUCUAGCAUGUCAAAUCAGAUAUGUUAUGUUGUUCAUGGUGUUCUUCAUCUGAUUUUAGAGUUGUACGGAAUAAAAUCAGAAGCUAUAAACUUUGUCAAAACCAUCCAAGUUCCAAAAAAUGAAUCGAGGGAUUCAUUUUUAGGAUGGAACAUCUAUGUAAUACAGAUAGGAGGUCAUCCUAGUACCAAAAUUUCAUGGUUCAUAUUAAAUAAGGAGCAAGCAUAUUGUGAUUCUGACUCUACAAAUAUCAGAGACGGGUCAAAUAUUAGUGAAGAUAAGUUUUAUAUACAAUGUCCUAUUCACAAUAUACAAUCCAAUUUUAUUAUAAUUAAUAUUAGAAUAUUUCAACUGUUAUUUGAUAUUUGAUAUUGCUUUUGCAGAAUAAAAGACCCACUACGUCUCAAACCUGCAAAACAGUACGGGAUAACAGCCAUGGCAGCAUACAUUUGCAGAACAUAAAGUAAGUUUCACAUUACAAUUCAUCAGACGUUCUUUGUUUGUUUCUGAGGCUUCACAUCCUCAUCGACAAUCUGUCUUACUUAUCCUUAAGGUGAAAUAUAAUAAUUGUUUAACGAAUUGAACUUUUCCAAAAGUUCAAAUACUCUUAUUACAGAAAAUGAAACACACGAAAACUGUCUAAAACCAAAUAAAAUUGAAAUGAACAGCAAACAAAUAUAACUUAGUCUUGAUAACAAAAUGGCAUAUAAGAGAUUUUGGAAUAUCUCUUUAAAACAAUAUUCUUUGUCUUUUUCUGAGGUUUGCCUUCCUCAUCAACAAUCAAUAUUUUCAGACCUUUCUUCGAUGUGAUUUUAGAAAUAACAAAUAAAGCUGUCCAUGUGAAAAAAAUUGGUCUUAGGUAAGAAUAAACCGAAUUUAGAUAGAGAUUGACCAUAACUUUUGUUGAUGGGGAUGGCAAAUGCCACAACAAGAGGUAACUGUCUUCUCCUCAUUUUGAAUGGUCACAUAGUGUCAGGUGGAGCUAUUAACACUGGUGGAAUGUAGACGGUCUUACCAGCCUGACGUCAUGUGAUAAUCCUUGCUCCCACCAUGAAAUCAAACCAUUCAGUGAUAUGUAGUCUAGUUCCAUUCGCUAAACAUGCUACAUUAUCAAUGUUUCUUAGCAGCAUAACUGGAUAGCGCCAAUCUUCAGACAAAUCUUGUGGUUUGGAAGCCCAAUAGGCUUUGAUAUUGUUCAAUAAAUCGGGAGUAAGAGCUUGAUCAUUAAUUUAACCUUCAUCAGAAGGGUCUAUAGUGUAUGAACUUAGAUAAAUCAUCUCCUCUCCUCCACAAACAAACCAAACGGAUCAAACACAAUUAUGUUCUCUGGUUAAAACAUCAUAUACCUUAACGACCGGUCAAAUGAAUUGAUCCGUUUAGUUCCUUUUUAAAAUAAAAAAGGUAAACUAACCAUCAAGUUUAUCCAACAUAUGCUGAUUGAUCAUGUUGACAUCCUCAUUGGUUGGACAUAGAAUUGCUCUUUCUUGAAAAAAUAUUCGGAUCUUUGUUUUGUUGAUGAGAAAUAACAUCUCCACAUAUUUUUUUGCUUAGACUCUAUAGCAUAUUCCGCAUCAGUAAUAAGAAAUUCCUUUGGAAUGUUGAUUACAGCAUCACCAUCAUUUUCACCACCAAGAUUUAUAUCUCCAACCACCAAGAUUUAUAUCUCCAACGUUUAGUAUCCACUUAGAAAAAUCUUUAAGUUCUAGUCAAAUUAUUUGUCAGUAGCCUCAUAUUCGUCGUUAGCUUUAGGAUUUUGCAAUGUUUCCAAAGAUACAAUCUCAGUCUUUCAACACCAUGAAUUACUGGUCCUAUCCAUAACAGUAUUAUAUAAAUUAGGCACAUACAUCAUUCUUAUAAAAAAAAAGAAAUGAAUGUAACAUGCCAUGGUUGACGCUUCGUCUUAUUCCUUAAAAGGAUCUGUCGCAACCACAUUAUACACCAUUUAUGAAUAUAAUUCAUCAUCGUCCAUCAAAACAUAUUAUGCAAAUUCACCACCAUAAUCUGAUUUACAGUAUACAUUAUGCAACUUUCUUAAAUAAAUUUUACCACAUUGUAUAUUAAAUACUAUAUAAAACAAUUCACAUUGGGCUUAAACGGUUCACAUUAUAUUUUAAAGUCAAGCUUCUCUUCUUUAGGUUCGUACAACUCAAUAGAGUUGUUAUCACCAUGGAACCUAAAUGAUUAAAAAAACUGAUGAAUCAAUUAUUACAUAAUUAAAUAAAACAUUAAACAUUUCAUAUUUGGUGUGCUUGGAUUUGUUUCGGUGCAUGAUAGCUUCUUUGAUUCCUAGGACCUAGGUUGUUCAACACCAAUAUUUUAAAUAAAUAAAAAAAUAUAUUGAAAUUAAAAUUUUGUUUACUAGAAAUCAAAAUAAUGCUUACUCAUUAUAGAUUAUGAGAGUCGCUAUUUCUUUUUAUUUUUCCUCUUUUUCUUAUUUUUUUUGUUAUUUUUCACAUUGUUUUUUUUUUUUUCAUUUACUCCAGACGUUACUAGUCAUA